RNAcentral lists this ribosomal RNA (484 nucleotides) under uncultured bacterium. RNAcentral's name for it is "partial 16S ribosomal RNA". It matches the Rfam family "Bacterial small subunit ribosomal RNA", at positions 30 to 507 of the family's 1533-position model. The record is from RNAcentral.
AUUGAACGCUGGCGGCAGGCCUAACACAUGCAAGUCGAGCGGAUGAAGGGAGCUUGCUCCUGGAUUCAGCGGCGGACGGGUGAGUAAUGCCUAGGAAUCUGCCUGGUAGUGGGGGAUAACGUCCGGAAACGGGCGCUAAUACCGCAUACGUCCUGAGGGAGAAAGUGGGGGAUCUUCGGACCUCACGCUACCAGAUGAGCCUAGGUCGGAUUAGCUAGUUGGUGGGGUAAAGGCCUACCAAGGCGACGAUCCGUAACUGGUCUGAGAGGAUGAUCAGUCACACUGGAACUGAGACACGGUCCAGACUCCUACGGGAGGCAGCAGUGGGGAAUAUUGGACAAUGGGCGAAAGCCUGAUCCAGCCAUGCCGCGUGUGUGAAGAAGGUCUUCGGAUUGUAAAGCACUUUAAGUUGGGAGGAGGGGCAGUAAGUUAAUACCUUGCUGUUUUGACGUUACCAACAGAAUAAGCACCGGCUAACUUCGUG